ACUCAGGUAUCGUAAGAUGCAAGAGUUCGAAUCUCUUCGCAACCAGGUUGUGUGGCCGAGCGGUCUAAGGCGCCUGAUUCAAGA
RNAcentral lists this transfer RNA (84 nucleotides) under Kluyveromyces dobzhanskii CBS 2104. Its description in RNAcentral is "tRNA-Leu". Lineage: Eukaryota; Fungi; Ascomycota; Saccharomycetes; Saccharomycetales; Saccharomycetaceae. The record is from RNAcentral.